Molecule: ribosomal RNA, 2433 nt
Filed under: Pseudomonas corrugata
Lineage: Bacteria; Pseudomonadati; Pseudomonadota; Gammaproteobacteria; Pseudomonadales; Pseudomonadaceae
Description: partial 23S ribosomal RNA
Rfam family: Bacterial large subunit ribosomal RNA
Source: RNAcentral
CCGGAGAGGGGAGUGAAAUAGAUCCUGAAACCGUAUGCGUACAAGCAGUGGGAGCCCACUUUGUUGGGUGACUGCGUACCUUUUGUAUAAUGGGUCAGCGACUUAUUUUCAGUGGCGAGCUUAACCGAAUAGGGGAGGCGUAGCGAAAGCGAGUCUUAAUAGGGCGUCUAGUCGCUGGGAAUAGACCCGAAACCGGGCGAUCUAUCCAUGGGCAGGUUGAAGGUUAGGUAACACUGACUGGAGGACCGAACCGACUACCGUUGAAAAGUUAGCGGAUGACCUGUGGAUCGGAGUGAAAGGCUAAUCAAGCUCGGAGAUAGCUGGUUCUCCUCGAAAGCUAUUUAGGUAGCGCCUCAUGUAUCACUGUAGGGGGUAGAGCACUGUUUCGGCUAGGGGGUCAUCCCGACUUACCAAACCGAUGCAAACUCCGAAUACCUACAAGUGCCGAGCAUGGGAGACACACGGCGGGUGCUAACGUCCGUCGUGAAAAGGGAAACAACCCAGACCGUCAGCUAAGGUCCCAAAGUUAUGGUUAAGUGGGAAACGAUGUGGGAAGGCUUAGACAGCUAGGAGGUUGGCUUAGAAGCAGCCACCCUUUAAAGAAAGCGUAAUAGCUCACUAGUCGAGUCGGCCUGCGCGGAAGAUGUAACGGGGCUCAAACCAUACACCGAAGCUACGGGUAUCACGUAAGUGAUGCGGUAGAGGAGCGUUCUGUAAGCCUGUGAAGGUGAGUUGAGAAGCUUGCUGGAGGUAUCAGAAGUGCGAAUGCUGACAUGAGUAACGACAAUGGGUGUGAAAAACACCCACGCCGAAAGACCAAGGUUUCCUGCGCAACGUUAAUCGACGCAGGGUUAGUCGGUCCCUAAGGCGAGGCUGAAAAGCGUAGUCGAUGGAAAACAGGUUAAUAUUCCUGUACUUCUGGUUAUUGCGAUGGAGGGACGGAGAAGGCUAGGCCAGCUUGGCGUUGGUUGUCCAAGUUUAAGGUGGUAGGCUGAGAUCUUAGGUAAAUCCGGGAUCUUAAGGCCGAGAGCUGAUGACGAGUUACCCUUUGGGUGACGAAGUGGUUGAUGCCAUGCUUCCAAGAAAAGCUUCUAAGCUUCAGGUAACCAGGAACCGUACCCCAAACCGACACAGGUGGUUGGGUAGAGAAUACCAAGGCGCUUGAGAGAACUCGGGUGAAGGAACUAGGCAAAAUGGCACCGUAACUUCGGGAGAAGGUGCGCCGGUGAGGGUGAAGCACUUGCUGCGUAAGCCCACGCCGGUCGAAGAUACCAGGCCGCUGCGACUGUUUAUUAAAAACACAGCACUCUGCAAACACGAAAGUGGACGUAUAGGGUGUGACGCCUGCCCGGUGCCGGAAGGUUAAUUGAUGGGGUUAGCUAACGCGAAGCUCUUGAUCGAAGCCCCGGUAAACGGCGGCCGUAACUAUAACGGUCCUAAGGUAGCGAAAUUCCUUGUCGGGUAAGUUCCGACCUGCACGAAUGGCGUAACGAUGGCGGCGCUGUCUCCACCCGAGACUCAGUGAAAUUGAAAUCGCUGUGAAGAUGCAGUGUAUCCGCGGCUAGACGGAAAGACCCCGUGAACCUUUACUAUAGCUUUGCACUGGACUUUGAAUUUGCUUGUGUAGGAUAGGUGGGAGGCUUUGAAGCGUGGACGCCAGUCUGCGUGGAGCCAUCCUUGAAAUACCACCCUGGCAACUUUGAGGUUCUAACUCAGGUCCGUUAUCCGGAUCGAGGACAGUGUAUGGUGGGUAGUUUGACUGGGGCGGUCUCCUCCUAAAGAGUAACGGAGGAGUACGAAGGUGCGCUCAGACCGGUCGGAAAUCGGUCGUAGAGUAUAAAGGCAAAAGCGCGCUUGACUGCGAGACAGACACGUCGAGCAGGUACGAAAGUAGGUCUUAGUGAUCCGGUGGUUCUGUAUGGAAGGGCCAUCGCUCAACGGAUAAAAGGUACUCCGGGGAUAACAGGCUGAUACCGCCCAAGAGUUCAUAUCGACGGCGGUGUUUGGCACCUCGAUGUCGGCUCAUCACAUCCUGGGGCUGAAGCCGGUCCCAAGGGUAUGGCUGUUCGCCAUUUAAAGUGGUACGCGAGCUGGGUUUAGAACGUCGUGAGACAGUUCGGUCCCUAUCUGCCGUGGACGUUUGAGAUUUGAGAGGGGCUGCUCCUAGUACGAGAGGACCGGAGUGGACGAACCUCUGGUGUUCCGGUUGUCACGCCAGUGGCAUUGCCGGGUAGCUAUGUUCGGAAAAGAUAACCGCUGAAAGCAUCUAAGCGGGAAACUUGCCUCAAGAUGAGAUCUCACUGGAGCCUUGAGCUCCCUGAAGGGCCGUCGAAGACUACGACGUUGAUAGGCAGGGUGUGUAAGCGCUGUGAGGCGUUGAGCUAACCUGUACUAAUUGCCCGUGAGGCUUGACCAUAUAACACCCAAGCAAUU